GAUGAACGCUGGCGGCGUGCCUAAUACAUGCAAGUCGAGCGAACGGACGAGAAGCUUGCUUCUCUGAUGUUAGCGGCGGACGGGUGAGUAACACGUGGAUAACCUACCUAUAAGACUGGGAUAACUUCGGGAAACCGGAGCUAAUACCGGAUAAUAUUUUGAACUGCAUGGUUCAAAAGUGAAAGACGGUCUUGCUGUCACUUAUAGAUGGAUCCGCGCUGCAUUAGCUAGUUGGUAAGGUAACGGCUUACCAAGGCAACGAUGCAUAGCCGACCUGAGAGGGUGAUCGGCCACACUGGAACUGAGACACGGUCCAGACUCCUACGGGAGGCAGCAGUAGGGAAUCUUCCGCAAUGGGCGAAAGCCUGACGGAGCAACGCCGCGUGAGUGAUGAAGGUCUUCGGAUCGUAAAACUCUGUUAUUAGGGAAGAACAUAUGUGUAAGUAACUGCGCACAUCUUGACGGUACCUAAUCAGAAAGCCACGGCUAACUACGUG
RNAcentral lists this ribosomal RNA (497 nucleotides) under uncultured bacterium. RNAcentral describes it as "partial 16S ribosomal RNA". It matches the Rfam family "Bacterial small subunit ribosomal RNA", at positions 28 to 507 of the family's 1533-position model. The record is from RNAcentral.